This 1769-nucleotide ribosomal RNA is filed under the name Escherichia coli. RNAcentral describes it as "partial 23S ribosomal RNA". It matches the Rfam family "Bacterial large subunit ribosomal RNA", at positions 1045 to 2798 of the family's 2925-position model. Lineage: Bacteria; Pseudomonadati; Pseudomonadota; Gammaproteobacteria; Enterobacterales; Enterobacteriaceae. The record is from RNAcentral.
UCCCAAAGUCAUGGUUAAGUGGGAAACGAUGUGGGAAGGCCCAGACAGCCAGGAUGUUGGCUUAGAAGCAGCCAUCAUUUAAAGAAAGCGUAAUAGCUCACUGGUCGAGUCGGCCUGCGCGGAAGAUGUAACGGGGCUAAACCAUGCACCGAAGCUGCGGCAGCGACGCUUAUGCGUUGUUGGGUAGGGGAGCGUUCUGUAAGCCUGUGAAGGUGUGCUGUGAGGCAUGCUGGAGGUAUCAGAAGUGCGAAUGCUGACAUAAGUAACGAUAAAGCGGGUGAAAAGCCCGCUCGCCGGAAGACCAAGGGUUCCUGUCCAACGUUAAUCGGGGCAGGGUGAGUCGACCCCUAAGGCGAGGCCGAAAGGCGUAGUCGAUGGGAAACAGGUUAAUAUUCCUGUACUUGGUGUUACUGCGAAGGGGGGACGGAGAAGGCUAUGUUGGCCGGGCGACGGUUGUCCCGGUUUAAGCGUGUAGGCUGGUUUUCCAGGCAAAUCCGGAAAAUCAAGGCUGAGGCGUGAUGACGAGGCACUACGGUGCUGAAGCAACAAAUGCCCUGCUUCCAGGAAAAGCCUCUAAGCAUCAGGUAACAUCAAAUCGUACCCCAAACCGACACAGGUGGUCAGGUAGAGAAUACCAAGGCGCUUGAGAGAACUCGGGUGAAGGAACUAGGCAAAAUGGUGCCGUAACUUCGGGAGAAGGCACGCUGAUAUGUAGGUGAAGCGACUUGCUCGUGGAGCUGAAAUCAGUCGAAGAUACCAGCUGGCUGCAACUGUUUAUUAAAAACACAGCACUGUGCAAACACGAAAGUGGACGUAUACGGUGUGACGCCUGCCCGGUGCCGGAAGGUUAAUUGAUGGGGUCAGCGCAAGCGAAGCUCUUGAUCGAAGCCCCGGUAAACGGCGGCCGUAACUAUAACGGUCCUAAGGUAGCGAAAUUCCUUGUCGGGUAAGUUCCGACCUGCACGAAUGGCGUAAUGAUGGCCAGGCUGUCUCCACCCGAGACUCAGUGAAAUUGAACUCGCUGUGAAGAUGCAGUGUACCCGCGGCAAGACGGAAAGACCCCGUGAACCUUUACUAUAGCUUGACACUGAACAUUGAGCCUUGAUGUGUAGGAUAGGUGGGAGGCUUAGAAGUGUGGACGCCAGUCUGCAUGGAGCCGACCUUGAAAUACCACCCUUUAAUGUUUGAUGUUCUAACGUUGACCCGUAAUCCGGGUUGCGGACAGUGUCUGGUGGGUAGUUUGACUGGGGCGGUCUCCUCCUAAAGAGUAACGGAGGAGCACGAAGGUUGGCUAAUCCUGGUCGGACAUCAGGAGGUUAGUGCAAUGGCAUAAGCCAGCUUGACUGCGAGCGUGACGGCGCGAGCAGGUGCGAAAGCAGGUCAUAGUGAUCCGGUGGUUCUGAAUGGAAGGGCCAUCGCUCAACGGAUAAAAGGUACUCCGGGGAUAACAGGCUGAUACCGCCCAAGAGUUCAUAUCGACGGCGGUGUUUGGCACCUCGAUGUCGGCUCAUCACAUCCUGGGGCUGAAGUAGGUCCCAAGGGUAUGGCUGUUCGCCAUUUAAAGUGGUACGCGAGCUGGGUUUAGAACGUCGUGAGACAGUUCGGUCCCUAUCUGCCGUGGGCGCUGGAGAACUGAGGGGGGCUGCUCCUAGUACGAGAGGACCGGAGUGGACGCAUCACUGGUGUUCGGGUUGUCAUGCCAAUGGCACUGCCCGGUAGCUAAAUGCGGAAGAGAUAAGUGCUGAAAGCAUCUAAGCACGAAACUUGCC